RNAcentral lists this ribosomal RNA (347 nucleotides) under uncultured bacterium. Its description in RNAcentral is "bacterial SSU rRNA". It matches the Rfam family "Bacterial small subunit ribosomal RNA", at positions 29 to 402 of the family's 1533-position model. The record is from RNAcentral.
AACGAACGCUGGCGGCAUGCCUAACACAUGCAAGUCGAACGAGACCUUCGGGUCUAAGUGGCGCACGGGUGCGUAACGCGUGGGAAUCUGCCCUUGGGUUCGGAAUAACAGUUAGAAAUGACUGCUAAUACCGGAUAAUGUCUUCGGACCAAAAGAUUUAAUCGCCCAGGGAUGAGCCCGCGUAGGAUUAGCUAGUUGGUGAGGUAAAGGCUCACCAAGGCGACGAUCCUUAGCUGGUCUGAGAGGAUGAUCAGCCACACUGGGACUGAGACACGGCCCAGACUCCUACGGGAGCAGCAGUAGGGAAUAUUGGACAAUGGGUGAAGCCUGAUCCAGCCAUGCCGCGU